GGUGGCGGAUGGGCAUGCGUCGCAUUAGUUAGUUGGCGGUGUAACGGACCACCAAGACGACGAUGCGUAGGGGUUCUGAGAGGAAGGUCCCCCACACUGGUACUGAGACACGGACCAGACUCCUACGGGAGGCAGCAGUGAGGAAUAUUGGUCAAUGGGCGGGAGCCUGAACCAGCCAAGUCGCGUGAGGGAUGACGGCCCUAUGGGUUGUAAACCUCUUUUGCCGGGGAGCAAAGUGCCGCACGUGUGCGGUUUGGAGAGUACCCGGAGAAAAAGCAUCGGCUAACUCCGUGCCAGCAGCCGCGGUAAUACGGAGGAUGCGAGCGUUAUCCGGAUUUAUUGGGUUUAAAGGGUGCGUAGGCGGACGCCUAAGUCAGCGGUAAAAUUGCGGGGCUCAACCUCGUCGAGCCGUUGAAACUGGGUGCCUUGAGUGGGCGAGAAGUACGCGGAAUGCGUGGUGUAGCGGUGAAAUGCAUAGAUAUCACGCAGAACUCCGAUUGCGAAGGCAGCGUACCGGCGCCCAACUGACGCUGAAGCACGAAGGCGUGGGUAUCGAACAGGAUUAGAUACCCUGGUAGUCCACGCAGUAAACGAUGAAUGCUAGUUGUCCGGGGCG
This 616-nucleotide ribosomal RNA is filed under the name uncultured bacterium. RNAcentral's name for it is "bacterial SSU rRNA". It matches the Rfam family "Bacterial small subunit ribosomal RNA", at positions 217 to 831 of the family's 1533-position model. The record is from RNAcentral.